UAGAGUUUGAUCCUGGCUCAGGACGAACGCUGGCGGCGCGCCUAAUCCAUGCAAGUCGAGCGACGCAUUCCUUAGCCCGUAAGGGCGGGUUUGACGGAGCGGCGAACGGGUGCGUAACACGUGACCAAUCUGCCCCGAAGACCGGGAUAGCCCGGGGAAACCCGGAUUAAUACCGGAUGACCUCAUCAUCACGCAUGUGGAGAUGAGCAAGGGUUCAGGCGCUUCGGGAUGAGGUCGCGGCCCAUCAGCUUGUUGGUGAGGUAACGGCUCACCAAGGCAAUGACGGGUAGCUGGUCUGAGAGGACGAUCAGCCACACUGGAACUGAGAUACGGUCCAGACUCCUACGGGAGGCAGCAGGAGGGAAUCUUGCGCAAUGGGCGAAAGCCUGACGCAGCGACGCCGCGUGGGGGAUGAAUGCCUUAGGGUUGUAAACCCCUUUCACGAGGGAAGAAACUGACGGUACCUCGAGAAGAAGCCCCGGCCAACUACGUGCCAGCAGCCGCGGUAAUACGUAGGGGGCGAGCGUUGUCCGGAUUUAUUGGGCGUAAAGGGCUCGUAGGCGGCUUGGCAAGUCGGCCGUGAAAACCCAGAGCUCAACUCUGGGACGCCGGUCGAUACUGCCAUGGCUAGGGUCCGG
Molecule: ribosomal RNA, 638 nt
Filed under: uncultured bacterium
Lineage: Bacteria
Description: bacterial SSU rRNA
Rfam family: Bacterial small subunit ribosomal RNA
Source: RNAcentral